UUAGCAUAUCAAUAAGCGGAGGAAAAGAACUAACAGGAUUCCCCUAGUAACUGCGAGUGAAGCGGGAAAAGCUCAAAUUUAAAAUCUGGCGGUCUUUGGCCGUCCGAGUUGUAAUCUAGAGAAGUAAUGCCCGUGCUGGACCGUGUAUAAGUCUCCUGGGAUGGGGCGUCAUAGAGGGUGAGAAUCCCGUCUUUGACACGGACUACCAGUGCAUUGUGGUAUGCUCUCAAAGAGUCGAGUUGUUUGGGAAUGCAGCUCAAAAUGGGUGGUAAAUUCCAUCUAAAGCUAAAUAUUGGCGAGAGACCGAUAGCGAACAAGUACCGUGAGGGAAAGAUGAAAAGAACUUUGGAAAGAGAGUUAAACAGUACGUGAAAUUGCUGAAAGGGAAACGCUUGAAGUCAGUCGCGUUGGCCAGGGAUCAGCCUUGCUUUUGCAUGGUGUACUUUCUGGUUGACGGGUCAGCAUCAAUUUUGACCGCUGGAAAAAGGCUUGGGGAAUGUGGCAGCAUUGGCUGUGUUAUAGCCCCUGGUCACAUACAGCGGUUGGGAUUGAGGAACUCAGCACGCCGCAAGGCCGGGUUUCGACCACGUUCGUGCUUAGGAUGCUGGCAUAAUGGCUUUAAGCGACCCGUCUUGAAACACGGACCAAGGAGUCUAACAUGCCUGCGAGUAUUUGGGUGGAAAACCCGAGUGCGCAAUGAAAGUGAAAGUUGAGAUCCCUGUCGUGGGGAGCAUCGACGCCCGGACCAGAACUUUUGCGACGGAUCCGCGGUGGAGCAUGUAUGUUGGGACCCGAAAGAUGGUGAACUAUGCCUGAAUAGGGUGAAGCCAGAGGAAACUCUGGUGGAGGCUCGUAGCGAUUCUGACGUGCAAAUCGAUCGUCAAAUUUGGGUAUAGGGGCGAAAGACUAAUCGAACCAUCUAGUAGCU
Molecule: ribosomal RNA, 928 nt
Filed under: Agaricus crocopeplus
Lineage: Eukaryota; Fungi; Basidiomycota; Agaricomycetes; Agaricales; Agaricaceae
Description: eukaryotic LSU rRNA
Rfam family: Eukaryotic large subunit ribosomal RNA
Source: RNAcentral